This is a long non-coding RNA of Myotis myotis, 429 nucleotides long. RefSeq lists it as uncharacterized. The record is from RefSeq and is a predicted model, not a curated record. The transcript is spliced from 3 exons. NCBI's taxonomy places the organism in Eukaryota, Metazoa, Chordata, Mammalia, Chiroptera, Vespertilionidae.
UUUUUUGUUUUUCCUUUUUUUUAGGAGUGGGUCUUUGCCAGCAAAGACAACGCAGAAGGUUGCAGAGAAGGGAAGGUGUGUGAGAUAGGGAGGCACAGAAUGCCUGGAGAGUUUGGGAGAGGAAUAUCAUCUCCAUGAAGAAAGAGGUCCUUUCUGUCUCACCACUGUAAACCCUAUACAGUCUAGCCCUGUGUGAUGAACAAAUAUAUUACUGUUUCACUUUGGACAUGAUUUCUAUUUGAUGGAUUCUUUAUGGAUGCUGAGGUUGUUUGUGUGACAAUUACUAGUAUGAUUUUCUUAAGGGUUUUACAGAUGUGGAUCACAAUUACAUGGAUUUGAUCCUCACACCAAAUGUGGGAGAUGGUGAGGGUGUUAUCAUCAUUAUACAGAGGAGGAAACUGCGCCUAAAGAAGAUGGCGAUGGCUUUUC